UGUAAGUUUGAUCUUGGCUUAGGAUGAACGUUAGUAAAAUGUUUUACACAUGCGAGUUGAUUUUAUCAGCGUACGGGUGAGGUGACUAAGUAUUUACCCCAAACUUUUUGGGAGAAGCUUUUUAGAAAGCAAGGUAGUAGGUCGUGUAAUAGACUACCUAGCCUAUGACUUCGAGCGGUUUCGAAAGAAAAAUCCGCCACAGUGGCAUUGAAGUAUGGGCCACACUCUACCUAGAGGCAGCAGUGAAGAAUCUUAGGCAAUGAGCGAAAGCUUGACCUAGCAAUUUUACAAAACGAUGAAAGCUAUUUUGCUGUAAAGUUUAAAAAAUAACUAUUUCAUAAUGAGUGCUGUUAUUUUUUUAGUCCUGACCAAUAUGCGUGCCAGCAGUCGCGGUAAUACGUGAAGGGCUUACGUUAUCUAUUCAUUAGGCGUAAAACGUUUGUAGGUGGUUACUUAUGUUAUUUAAUAAAAACUAAAAAAAUUAGUACUUAAAUAAUACGUUGUAUCUAGAGAUUUAAAGAAGAAAAUAGAAUUUUUGAAGUACGGUUAAAAUCGGUUGAUAUCAAAAGGACUCUCUUGUGAAGACAAUUUUCUACGAAAAUCUGACACUCAGAAACGAAAGCACAGGUAGCAAAGUGGAUUAGAGACCCACGUAGUCUGUGCCGUAAACGAUGUUUAUUUUCUGCUAGAUUCUCUUUUCGGAGGCUUAUAGUAGAUACGCUAACGCUAAAUAAACUGCCUGGAGAGUACCUCGGCAACGAUGAAAUCCAAAAGAAUUGACGGGAGCUAGUACAGGCAGCGGAGCAUGUUACUUAAUUCGAUAAUACGCGAGAAAUCUUACCAAAGUUUGACAGUAGUUUAAACAGGUGUUGCAUGGUUGUCGUCAGCUCGUGUUUUGAAAUGUAUGGUUUAGUCCUUAAACGAGCGAAACCUUUACUUAUUCUAGUUUCUAGAAUAGGCUAGCUUAGAUAAUAAGCUUGAGAAUUAAGACAAAGACAAAUCUUCAUGACCCUUAUACUUUGGGCUGUAAACGUGCUACAAUGGUAACUUCAAAAAGAAGCAACAGAGAAAUCUAAAGCAAACCUUUUAAACGUUACCUUAGUUCGGAUUAAGGAUUGAAACUCAUCCUUAUGAAGUCGGAGUUGCCAGUAAUCGCAAAUCAUCACGUUGCGGUGAAAUUAUUAACCUAGCUUUGUACAUACCGCCCGUCAUGUUAUGGGAGGUUCUUUUAUAUGAAGUGGCAUCAGCCUAUAGUGUAACGGAACUAACUGUAAUAAAGUCGUAACAAGGUAGCUGUAAGCGAACUUGCAGCUG
RNAcentral lists this ribosomal RNA (1314 nucleotides) under Hondaea fermentalgiana. Its description in RNAcentral is "bacterial SSU rRNA". It matches the Rfam family "Bacterial small subunit ribosomal RNA". The record is from RNAcentral. Lineage: Eukaryota; Bigyra; Thraustochytrida; Thraustochytriidae.